Molecule: non-coding RNA, 179 nt
Filed under: Cerasibacillus terrae
Lineage: Bacteria; Bacillati; Bacillota; Bacilli; Caryophanales; Bacillaceae
Description: 6S / SsrS RNA
Rfam family: 6S / SsrS RNA
About the family: E. coli 6S RNA was the first non coding RNA to be sequenced, but its function was unknown until recently. It consists of 184 nucleotides that fold into an extended hairpin structure with a large single-stranded internal bulge. The 6S RNA specifically associates with RNA polymerase holoenzyme containing the sigma70 specificity factor.
Source: Rfam by way of RNAcentral
GAAAUCCUGAUGUGUUCGUCUGUAAAUAUCGUUUUGACCGAACACUAAAUGUAAGGGAGCUUGAUUGUUUUUAUGCGGCGUGCAAGCCUCUUGUGUGGAAGUACAAUGUAUAAAACAGAGCACCCACCUGCCUAGAGCGGGAUCAAAACUAGAAUUCGGACGGCACAAUUGGGAUUUGA